CCGGUGACAGGUGGUGCAUGGUUGUCGUCAGCUCGUGUCGUGAGAUGUUGGGUUAAGUCCCGCAACGAGCGCAACCCUUAUUGUUAGUUGCUACGCAAGAGCACUCUAGCGAGACUGCCGUUGACAAAACGGAGGAAGGUGGGGACGACGUCAAAUCAUCAUGCCCCUUAUGUCCUGGGCCACACACGUACUACAAUGGUGGUCAACAGAGGGAAGCAAUACCGCGAGGUGGAGCAAAUCCCUAAAAGCCAUCCCAGUUCGGAUCGCAGGCUGCAACCCGCCUGCGUGAAGUUGGAAUCGCUAGUAAUCGCGGAUCAGCAUGCCGCGGUGAAUACGUUCCCGGGCCUUGUACACACCGCCCGUCACACCAUGAGAGUCGGGAACACCCGAAGUCCGUAGCCUAACCGCAAGGGGGGCGCGGCCGAAGGUGGGUUCGAUAAUUGGGGUGAAGUCGUAACAAGGUAGCCGUAUCGGAAGGUGCGGCUGGAUCACCUC
This 495-nucleotide ribosomal RNA is filed under the name uncultured bacterium. RNAcentral describes it as "bacterial SSU rRNA". It matches the Rfam family "Bacterial small subunit ribosomal RNA", at positions 1028 to 1529 of the family's 1533-position model. The record is from RNAcentral.